AUACGGAGGAUCCGAGCGUUAUCCGGAUUUAUUGGGUUUAAAGGGUGCGCAGGCGGCCAUUUAAGUCAGCGGUUAAAUCGUGGGGCUCAACCCCAUUCUGCCGUUGAUACUGGGUGGCUUGAUUGCGGUCGAGGUUGGCGGAAUUCGUUGUGUGGCGGUGAAAUGCAUAGAUAUGAAGAAGAACACCGAUUGCGUAGGCAGCUGACCAGACCGCAAAUGACGCUCAUGCACGAAAGUGCGGGGAUCGAACAGGAUUAGAUACCCUGGUAGUCCGCACAGUAAACGAUGAAUACUUGUUUUCGGCGAUAUAAUGUCGGAGGCAAAGCGAAAGCGAUAAGUAUUCCACCUGGGGAGUACGCCGGCAACGGUGAAACUCAAAGGAAUUGACGGGG
RNAcentral lists this ribosomal RNA (392 nucleotides) under uncultured bacterium. Its description in RNAcentral is "partial 16S ribosomal RNA". It matches the Rfam family "Bacterial small subunit ribosomal RNA", at positions 523 to 918 of the family's 1533-position model. The record is from RNAcentral.